RNAcentral lists this ribosomal RNA (253 nucleotides) under uncultured bacterium. RNAcentral's name for it is "partial 16S ribosomal RNA". It matches the Rfam family "Bacterial small subunit ribosomal RNA", at positions 524 to 776 of the family's 1533-position model. The record is from RNAcentral.
UACAGAGGUCCCGAGCGUUGUUCGGAUUUAUUGGGCGUAAAGGGUGCGCAGGCUGUAUGGUAAGUUUGGUGUGAAAUCCUGGGGCUUAACCCCAGAAUUGCACUGAAUACUGCCGUGCUAGAGGACUGGAGAGGAGAUUGGAAUUCACGGUGUAGCAGUGAAAUGCGUAGAUAUCGUGAGGAAGACCAGUGGCGAAGGCGAAUCUCUGGACAGUUCCUGACGCUCAUGCACGAAGGCCAGGGGAGCAAACGGG